CAGUCGCCGCGGUAAUACGAAGGGUGCAAGCGUUACUCGGAAUUACUGGGCGUAAAGCGUGCGUAGGUGGCGUGUUAAGUCGAAUGAGAAAGCCCCGGGCUCAACCUGGGAAUGGCAUCCGAUACUGGCAGGCUAGAGUUCGAUAGAGGGUAGUGGAAUUCCAGGUGUAGCGGUGAAAUGCGUAGAGAUCUGGAGGAACAUCAGUGGCGAAGGCGGCUACCUGGAUCAGAACUGACACUGAGGCACGAAAGCGUGGGGAGCAAACAGGAUUAGAUACCCGAGUAGUCCCUGUCUCUUAUAC
Molecule: ribosomal RNA, 301 nt
Filed under: uncultured bacterium
Lineage: Bacteria
Description: partial 16S ribosomal RNA
Rfam family: Bacterial small subunit ribosomal RNA
Source: RNAcentral